RNAcentral lists this long non-coding RNA (36910 nucleotides) under Vitis vinifera (wine grape). Its description in RNAcentral is "long non-coding RNA (VVIN_LNC001744)". Lineage: Eukaryota; Viridiplantae; Streptophyta; Magnoliopsida; Vitales; Vitaceae. The record is from RNAcentral.
GAUAAAUCGAGCUCCACUUCGCCGUGUGGGAGAUCCGAAGGAGGUGUCAUCUUUGGUGGCAUUCCUCUGUCUACCAGCAUCAUCUUACAUUACUGGACAGACUAUUUGUGUCGAUGGUGGCGUGACUGUUAAUGGUUUUGAGCCAAACCUGUUAUAGGAACAUCAUUAAGACUCAAAAAUCUUAGCUUCCUCUACCGCUUUCCUGUUUGGAUCCUGUCUUUUUCCUGAAUAAUCUGUUUGUGAUGGUAAGUACUCUUCUGUUUUUUCGGUGUGGGGUUCAUCUGAAAACAUUGUUGCAUGAUGCUUAUAAUAAUCGUUGGAAAGUUUGUAAGAAGUUACUUAUCAUUGGAUGAGAUUCUUGUGAUGAGUGUUUCCUAUAAUCAGAUUUAUCUUGUUAUAAGGUUGUUGUUGUAGUAGUAACUGCAAUUCAAAGGAAAUUAAUUUAGUAUAAUACUGUAGGUUGUUGUCUAGUGUCUACUACCUCAGCUUCUCAUCCCACCCAACUCUCCCUCUUUAACUACCUAAUAUGAAAUUAAAAUAUGAAUUUAACAACCUGUCCGUCUUGUCCACCGUUUCUUUGGCUCUUCAGUCUUCAGACUUCGGCCUUUUAAAGCAGGACCUAAAAGGUUUGGGCCCAAAUGUUGGAAAAACUUAACACAGGCUGCAAUUUUGGGCCCCAAAACUCUUUCCAACUGGGCCUGAACACUUUUAGGCCCAAGAUGCUUUAGAUUUUGGACUCGCAGACCAUGUAUAUGCCCUCAACACCACCAUGCUUUACUUCAUCCCUUCCUUUCAAAUUAAAAGGAAAUUCAAAUUUCAUGAUGUUACAACUUGCUCAUUGAUGUACAUUCCCAUUCACAAAAAAUAAAAUAUUAAAUGCACUUAUCCAAAAUAUCUUCAUACCUACCUAUUUUUAUUUUUAAAAUAAAAUUUAAACGUUGAAUAACAAAAAUACCAUUUUUGUCAUCCUUACCCUUCACCCUUCCGAAACCCUAAUCUAAUCUUCCCUUUCUCUCUUCUUUCAUUUUCCAUCUUCUUAAAUGGGAAAAUAACGAUCAUCAGAGCCCACCGUGACUUGUGACAGGUUCGAUCCCUUAACAAUGACGAGGCCAUUAUGGAUAAUAUAAGGAUAAGCAUUACAAUAUUUCACUCCUUCACGUGCAUCUCCCUUCACACAAAGAUGCUUCCUUCACUCAUUUUAUAUUAAUAAUAUGAUAAAUUAUACAAAAAAAAAACAAUUUUUUUUUUAUCAAAAUUGUUUUCAACAAUAUUUCAAAUAUAUAUAUAUAUAUAUAUAUAUAUAUAAAUUUGGAAAACUUGUAUUUUGGAGCUGCUAUUUAGAAAUUAUAUAGUUUUCGGAACCCAAAAAUGAGAAAUAUGAUAAUCAAAUUUUAAUAUGAAAAGUAUUAUCGUUUUUGUGCACUUUGAGUAGACUUCAUCUUUUGUGCCCAAAUGGCCCCUCCAUGUCUCCAGCUCAGCAUUCUUAGCAUCAUCCCAACCUUUGUGUCAGUAGAACCAUUGAAAUUAAGAAAAAAAAAAACACAAAAAUCUAAAUUUGUAACUUCUCAAAAAAAAAAAAAAAAAAACCCAAUCUGCAAGUUUUCAAUUUGCUCAUUUGGAAAACAUUUUUUUUUAUAAAUAUCAAUAUUAUUUUUAAAAAAUGGUGACUUUUAGCUUUUAAUUAAAACUAAGAACAAGAAGUUAUUCCAAAUAUGACUUAUGUAUUUAUUCAGUGAAAGUAAUUUUUUCAUUUAAAAAAAGUAAUUUCUUGGUGAUAAAAAGAAAUAUUUUUUUAGUAGCUUUUCGAUGCUAUAAAAAAAGUGUUGGCUAAGUUUGUAUGAUAAAAUUGGUGUUAUUUAUAUACCAGCACUUUCGCUAGGGUCUUAUUUAUUGGGAAAACUGAUUAAUAAACUAAUCUUCUGUUUUGUUUUCAGUUCAAAGAGUGGUAGAGUAGAGGAGGAGGCAUGGCUCAGACAUUUGGGUGCAGCUCUGGAGAUAGUAGAUGGUCUCUCAAGGGAAUGACUGCUCUUGUAACUGGUGGAACUAAAGGAAUUGGGUUGGUGUUACCUGUUUUUAUGUCUUUGGGUUUGGACUAUACCUUCCUAUAUAUAAACGUAUGUAUCAAUUCUGCAGGCAUGCAAUUGUGGAGGAACUGGCUGGAUUAGGAGCAACCAUACACACGUGUUCUCGAAAAGAAACCGAGCUCAAUGAAUGCUUGAAGGAUUGGAAAGCUAAAGGUUUUGGAGUGAGUGGUUCAGUGUGUGAUGUAUCCUCUCGGGCCCAAAGGGAGAAGCUAAUGGAGACUGUCUCUUCUGUGUUCAAAGGGAAGCUGAAUAUCCUUGUAAGUUCCUCUAGUCUCUAAGGUUCCGAUCCAUGAUAUUCCACAUACUUUGUCGAACUUCCAACAAUUUGAGUUCCCCUACUUGAUAUAUAUAUUUUGGUUCCGGAUUCAGGUCAACAACGCUGCUAUUGUUAUUCAGAAACCAACAGUAGAGGUCACGGCAGAAGAGUUCUCAACAAUCAUGGCCAUAAAUUUUGAAUCUGUGUAUCAUCUGUCCCAACUCGCACACCCCCUUUUAAAGGCAUCAGGAGCGGGAAGCAUUGUAUUCAUCUCCUCUGUUGCCGGCGUAGUGUCAAUCAAGUAUCUGUCUGCUUAUUCAGUAACCAAAGGUAUUUCAUUACAUGAUCCACAUUAUAUAUAUAUAUAUAUAUUGCAAGUUCUUGGGUUGUGGCCCUUGUGGCCUUCUCGGCGUGUCAUUAUCAUUAUCAUAUUGUGAUUUUUCAGGAGCAAUGAAUCAGCUUACAAAGAAUUUGGCAUGCGAGUGGGCGGAAGACAAUAUUAGAAGUAAUGCAGUUGCUCCUUGGUACAUCAAAACUCCGAUGGUGGAUCAGGUAAUUCAGUUGCUCUUCUGUUUUGUCUGGGAAAAUUCAAUAAUCAAUUCCUCUCUCUUUUCUGUCUUUUGCAUAAUCUGGGUUGCAGAUGUUCAGUAACAAAACCUUUCUGGAAGAGGUGAUAAAUCGAGCUCCACUUCGCCGUGUGGGAGAUCCGAAGGAGGUGUCAUCUUUGGUGGCAUUCCUCUGUCUACCAGCAUCGUCUUACAUUACUGGACAGACUAUUUGUGUCGAUGGUGGCGUGACUGUUAAUGGUUUUGAGCCAAACCUGUUCUAGGAACAUCAUUAAGACUCUCAAAAAUCUUAGCUUCCUCUACCGCUUUCCUGUUUGGAUCCUGUCUUUUUCCUGAAUAAUCUGUUUGUGGUGGUAAGUACUCUUCUGUUUUUUCGGUGUGGGGUUCAUUUGAAAACAUUGUUGCAUGAUGCUUAUAAUAAUCGUUGGAAAGUUUGUAAGAAGUUACUUAUCAUUGGAUGAGAUUCUUGUGAUGGGUGUUUCCUAUAAUCAGAUUUAUCUUGUUAUUGUAGUAAUAGGAUUGAAAGAAAAAUGCAAAUAAUCAUAAAAGGAUGAUGAAAAUCGGGAAGAGUUCAUCAUUUUUACUUAUUCAAAUAUUACACCAUCUCUUAUUUACAAUAAAUUUCAAAGAGUGUAAGUGAAACCAACCUUAAAUUAAUUUUGUUUGAUAAAUUUAGAUGAAAUUCAACAAGUGUGAAUCUUUAAUUUUUUUUCAUUUCAAUUAAUUUGGUAUCUAUUAUGAGGUUGCCCAUCAAGCUAAAAAUGACCAAAUAUGAUAUAAGCAUGAAGUCUUUGUUAUAUCUCGGAGAUUAAGAAUUGAUUCCAAUACUUUAUAACUUCCUCUUUUUACUUUAUAUAUCCAUGAAUUUAAGAUAGGUCCCUCACAUGUUUAGCUUCUCCCCUUGACGUACGUAGUGUCAUAUGGACAAUAAUUAAUGCUUGUUCAGCUAAGGUCAAAUAUAUGAAAACAAAUAAGAUUCAUUCACGUAAAACAUACAUGUAGCAAAGAGACGAAGGAAAGUGGGUUCUGUGAUCUAUCACACAUCAUGGAAAAAGCUGUGGUACCAUGGCUUUUCCAGGACUUUUCCUUGCAUAAUGGUACUGACAACAGUAUGCUAUUCUGUUGUUACUCUUAAGAUAUUUUAAUAUAAAGUAGCGCGUAUGUACUAUAUACAAUUCAGUGACGCCAUCUAACACGUUAGCCAAUAAGGUUACAAAUUUUAAUUUUAUAUUAAUAAUAUGAUUUGGGUAUGCUCCAUAUUUUAAAAUAUAAUUGAAUCAUAAAUAUCUAGAACUAGAAAUCCUUUUGAGGGACCAAUAACAUAAAUCAUUAAAAUUUUAUAAUUUGAUAUUAUAAAUUCCUAAUUAAAUUUUAAAAUAUAUUAAAUUUAUUUGAUAUAAAUAUAUAUAAAAAUAAAGAAAAAAAUUAAUAUUUUCAUAUGAUAAAUUAUACAAAAAAAAACAAAUAUAUUUUUUUUUAUCAAAGUUGUUUUCAACAAUAUUUCAAAAAUAUAUAUAUAAAUUUGGGAAACUUGUAUUUUGGAGCUGCUAUUUAGAAAUGAUAUGGUUUUCAGAACCCAAAAAUGGGAAAUAUGAUAAUCAAUUUUUAAUAUGAAAAGUAUUAUCGUUUUUGUGCAUUCUGAGUCGGCUUCAUCUUUUGUGCCCAAAUUGCCCCUCCAUGUCUCCAGCUCAGCAUUCUCAACAUCAUCCCAACCUCCAUGUCAGUAGGACCAUUGAAAUUAAGAAAAAAAAAAACACUAAAAUCUAAAUUUGUAACUUCUCAAAAAAAAAAAAACCCAAUAUGCAAGUUUUCAAUUUGCUCAUUUGGAAGCUUUUUCUCAUCUUUUUCUCUCAUUUUAGUUUAGAAACUCAAAUCCAAAACUCUAAAUGUGAUAUGUUGUGGAAUUGUUUUCAUAGUCCUUAACAAGAUGCAUGCGGCAUGUACUGAACUUUAACCUAAUUCCUUCUACCAAUUUUUCUGGCCCCAAGUUACUAGGGACUAUGGCUCCGAUUGGGUGGUUUUUGAGUAGUCAAAAACCAUUUUUAAAGCUUAGUAAAAAAUUUUAUGCCCCUCAUUUUAUUUAAACAAUUUAUAACUUAAAAAAAUAAGAAAAUAAAAAAAAAUGUUUUUUUAAGCUUUAUUUUGACUUAUUCAAAAAGUUUUUUUAUUUUUUUUAUUUUUAUGUUUAAUACAUUUUUUAUAAUUUCAAUAUUAUUUUUAAAAAAUAGUGACUUUUAGCUUUUAAUUAAAACUAAGAACAAGAAGUUAUUCCAAAUAUGACUUAUGUAUUCAUUCAAUGAAAGUAACUUUUUCAUUUAAAAAAAGUAAUUUCUUGGUGAUAAAAAGAAAUAUUUUUUUAGUAGCUUUUUGAUGCUAUAAAAAAAGUGUUGGCUAAGUUUGUAUGAUAAAAUUGGUGUUAUUUAUAUACCUGCACUUUUGCUAGGGUCUUAUUUAUAGGGAAACUUGUGUUUAAUAUGCUCAAUUCUAUUUCUUUGUAUGGCUAUGCAAUUGUUCAGAUUUGGCAACACUAAUCAAUAAAUGUACGUUAUAUUUGAAACAUUGGAAUAAAAAAAAGAAUAAGAGUUAAUUUUAUUUUCAAUUUAUUACUAUAUUUGAAUUAUUUUUUACAAUGAUAAUAGAAUUAAAAAGAAAAUCACUUAGUAACCCUUAGGUACUACCUUAAUAUACCUUAAAUAACCUUAAUCGAUCUUAGAUAUUAUCUUAGUUACACUUGGGUACUACCUAUGUGAAGCCUCAAAACUUCAUUUGUAGACAUUACUUCAUGUGUGAACAUUAGAGAUGACAUUAUGUGCACCUUUAAUAAGUGUUACUAAGGUAGUACCUAAGGUACAAUCAACACUAUAUCAAAGGUGCACAUAAUGUCAUGCUCUAAUGUUCACAAAUAAAGUAAGUAAUGUUUACAAAUGAAGUUUCCAGGCUUCACACAGGUAGUAUCCAAGUCUAAUUAAGUAGUACCUAAGGUCGGUAAGGUAGAUUAAGGUAAUACCUAAGGGUUACUAAGGUAGUACCUAAGGUACAAUCACCACUAUAUCAAAGGGGCACAUAAUGUCAUGCUCUAAUGUUCACAAAUAAAGUAAGUAAUGUCCAUAAAUAAAGUUUCGAGGCUUCACACAGGUGGUACCCAAGUUUAACUGAGAUAAUACCUACAAUUAGUUAAAAUUAGUACCUACAAUCAGUUAAGAUAGUACUUAAGAUAAAUUAAUGUAGUACCUAAAGGUUACUAAGGUAGUACCUAAAGGUUACUAAGGUAGUACCUAAGGUACAGUAAAUACUAAAGAACAAUAAAUAAAAAUUAAUUACCUUCGUAUUUCGAGUAGGGGUUAGGGAAAAAUGUGACAGAAUGACAGGAAGACGAGACAUUUUUUUUUAGGAAACCAAUAUUUUGGAUUUCACCUUUUCGUCCAAGUACGCUUUGCUAUAGAAAAAUCAAUAUCAUAGUUGCGCCUAUUGAAACCAUCUUUUAACUGGACGUUCUUAGGAUGGAGUGCUCCAUUUGGUUGUUGAGAAUUUAGACAAGAAAGAAAAAUGCAGGUUGGAGUUUUGGAUUAAGGGUUUCUUUUCUCAAAUUGAAGAAAUUUUAGGAAAUUUUAAAUGGGUUUUAGGAUCGUCUGGGUGAUAAAGCCAAGAGAAAUAGAGAAAGAAAUGUUUCCAACCUUUAAGAGGAAAAAGUUUCAGAUUUGGGAAAUUUGAGAUGGUUCCCGGGUCAAGUGUUUUUUUGUGUUUUAGAUUUGAGAAGUUUCAAAUUCUUGGAGAAGAUAUAAAUAUGUAGAUUUGAAUUUUAAGGGUUUCUUUUUUGAAAUGAGAGAAAUUUUGGAAAAUUUUAUAGGUGUCUUUCUAAUUCGGCUAGGUAAGGAAGUGAAGAGAGUUGAGAGAAAAUGUUCCCAAAUGAGAGAGAUGGAAAGUUUUUGAUUUGGGAAAUUAGAGGUGUUGUCAGGAUGGGUGUUUAUGAGAACUUUCAAAUUCUAAUUUUUGUGUUUUGUUUAAUUUCAGAAGGUCUUGUUGACAUGAAAAGCUGACUUACUGCUGACAUGGAGACAUUGAGGGACAAUCUGGGAAUAGAAAAUGUAAACAUGACAUAGUGCAUGAGAACGAUAAUAUUUUCUCCAAUAACAGGGAAAUAUCAUAUUUCAUAUACUUGGGGUUCGAAAAGCAUAUAAUUUUCAAAUCACAGACUGAAAACACAAGUUUCCCAUAAAUAUACUUAAAGCAUGUUUGAUAACAAUUUUGAAAAAUAAUUUUCGAAAAUAGUUAUUUAAAAUUGUUUUUUGAUGUUUACAACAUAAAAAAAAAAAAAAAACAUGUUUGACAACCUAAAAUAAUUUUUAUAUCUAAUAUUUUAUUUUUAAUAAUUCGAUAUAUUUGUAUAAUUAUUUUUAAAAAUAGCUGUAAAAAAUAAGUGAAAACAAGUAAAGAUGUUAUCCGAAAACAUUAUAUUUUUUAUUUUUAAAAACAAAAAAUAGUUUUUCUUAUUCUCAAACAAGUUUUCCUGUUUUUUACGAAGAAAAAAUUAUUGUCAAACAAUCCCUUAUAUACUUGUGUUUUAUCAAGUGGUGAAAUAUCUUUGUAUGAAUUAUAUAGCAACUCAUAAGAGUAAGAGAAAAAGAGACAAUUUUAAAAGUGCAUAUGACAAGUGGAAAUUAUUAGAAAAGAGGCAAUUUUAAGAAUGGAUUUGAUAUGUGUCACAAAGACCACUAAAAUUUGGUGUGAAUAUAUAAAUAAGUUUUAAAUUUUGUUGAUUAACAUAUCUAUAAAUUUUUUUAUUUAUAAAAUUUAAUUUUUAGAGAAAUUUUAGAUAAAAAGAUUUUAGAUCUAUUCAAUCAAAAAUUGAAAGAGUAACUUAAUGUAUUUACUCUAAGCCUCAUGGUGUGUGAAUUAAACCAACCUUCAAAGAAAAAUAGAAAAAAAAAAAAGUGAAUCAUAAUAAAAAGGAAAGUAGUCAAAAUCAAAAGGAGAAUCAAAUUUGAUUUCCAUAUUAGUGAUUUUUUAAAAAAAAUUCUAUUAUCAUUGUAAAAAAUAAUUCAAAUACAUUAAUAAAUUGAAAAUAAACUUAACUCUUAUUCUCAUUUCUUAUUCCAAUGUUUCAAAUAUAACGUCCAUUUAUUGAUUAGUGUUGCCAAAUCCGAACAAUUGCAUAGCAAUACAAAGAAAUGGAAUUGAGCAUAUAAAACACUUUUUUUUUAUAGUAUCAAAAAGCUACUGAAAAAAAUAUUUCUUAUCUCCAAGAAAUUACUUUUUUAAAAUGAAAAAAUUACUUUCAUUGAAUGAAUACAUAAGCCGUAUUUGGAAUAACUUCUUAUUCUUAAUUUUAAUUAAAAGCAAAAAGUCACAAUUUUUUAAAAAUAAUAUUGAUAUUAUAAAAAAUGUAUUAAACAUAAAAAAACCUUUUUGAAUAAAUCAAAAUAAAGCUUUAAAAAAAACAUUUUCUUGAUUUUCAUAUUAAGUUAUUUUUUAAGUUAUAAAUUAUUUAAAUAAAAUGAGCAGCAUAAAAAAUCUUAUAGAGCUUUAAAAAUGGUUUUUGACUACUCAAAUCCACCCAAUCGGAACCAUCAUCCCGGUAACUUGGGGCCAGAAAAAUUGGCAAAAGGAAUGAGGUUAAAGUUCAGUACGUGUUGCAUGCAUCUUAUUAAAGACCAUAAAAGCAAUUCCAUAAUAUAUCACAUUUGGAGUUUUGGAUUUGGGUUUUUAAACUAAAAUGAGAGAAAUUUUGGGUUGUCGAAAGCGAAGAAAGAUGAGAGAAAACUUUCAAAUAAGUAAAUUGAAAACUUACAGAUUGUGUGUGUGUGUUUUUUUUUUUUUUUUUUAAAAAAAGUUAUAGAUUAAGAUUUUAAUAUUUUUUUUUUCUUAAUUUCAGUGGUUUGAUUGAUAUAGAGGUUGAAAUGAUGUUGAGGAUGCUAAGCUGGAGACAUGAAUGGGCAACUUGGGCAUGAAAGAUGGAGCCAGCUCAGAGGCAUAAAAACGAUAAUACUUUUUAUAUUAAAAAUUGAUUUUCAUAUUAAAUUUUAUACAUCUAUUUUAAAACAAUUAAAAUUUUAUUCAAUUUUCAAUUAUAAUAUAUGCACUGCCUCUCGCGGGUCGAUACUGCUGACGAGUGCAUGAAAUUAUUAUAAAUAUCUCAUGGAAUGAGGACAGAUUAAAGAAGAGGAGAGAGAGAGAGAGAGAGGGAGAAGAAGAAGACAACCAAAAAAGAAAAGGAAGACAGCAUUGUAAACAUAGAAAAUGGAAAGUAUUGGAAAUAUUUCAUGAAAUCGGAGUAAACAACAAAACAAAAUAAAAUACUUUUAAUCCCUGUUUCCUACUUCUGUCAUAAAGUAUGGAUAGAGAUGAGACGAAGGAGGAGAAGGAGGAGAAGGAGGAGCACUCAGCUUUCACCGAUACUGCAGUGUGUUGUGGUGGUGUAGCAUAUGGUAGGAUGUCAUUCUUGCUCCAAAAGUGUGGGCAGAUCCAUUUUUAUUUUCCUUUUUUCAUCUCUGUCCUCACUGAUUCGUUUUGGGUAUCCAUCAAUAUUUAUCAGUGGGCUUGGUGUUAGUCAAAAGCCACCAAUUUUUCUUUCCUUUUUUUUUUUCCCAUAUAUUAGAAUGAAAUGUUGUUGUCCAUUUUAGGGGAAGGCGUUAUGCUGAACUGAACUGUGCGAGGGGAAUGAAAAUUAAUUUAGGGGUUUUCUUCCUCCUCUAUUUUUGGCUCUCUUUCAUGAGGGUACAGAUUCUCUUUUUUUCUCUCGGAGUGUUUGGAUUGUUUCAUUCCAUUUAACUAUUUUUGCAGCAUAUUCCGAGUGUUAUAGGUAUUGGGUAAUCAGUAAUACAGAAAAUGUAAUAUAAUUUUGUACUAUGUAGUUUUGGACUUGGGGUAGGAUGAGUUUAAUUUAUGUAGAUUCAUGUCACUAUUCUCAGCCUUCAAUGCAUUGAUUUCUCCAGAUUUUGAUAUAUAUAUAUAUAUAUAUAUACAAACUGCAAUGGGAAUAAAAAGGAUGGUUGUUUCUUCAAGAAUUCUGAGAAAAAAAAAGGGGGUGGGGGGGCAAGAGAGGUUUGAGGAGGCCAUUGGGACUGUUAUCAGUUCUGUGUCUUUUGUUUUCAAGUUGUAAGAAGUCCCUGUUAUGCCAUUUGCUAUGUUGUUUCUGUCCAAUUUUCAGUUGAAAGAGUGGUAGAUUAGAGAAGGAGGAAUGGCUCAGACAUCUGGAUGCAGCUCUGGAGAUAGUAGAUGGUCUCUCAAGGGAAUGACUGCUCUCGUAACUGGUGGAACUAAAGGAAUUGGGUUUGUGAUGUUACCUGUAUUCUAUGUCUUUGGUUUGGACUACACCUUCCUUCCCAUAUAUAAAUGUAUGUAUCAAUUAUGCAGGCAUGCAAUUGUGGAAGAACUGGCUGGACUAGGAGCAACCAUACACACAUGUUCUAGAAAAGAAACCGAGCUCAAUGAAUGCUUGAAGGAUUGGAAAGCUAAAGGUUUUGGAGUGAGUGGUUCAGUGUGUGAUGUAUCCUCUCGGGCCCAAAGGGAGAAGCUAAUGCAGACUAUCUCUUCUGUGUUCAAUGGGAAGUUGAAUAUCCUUGUAAGUUCCUCUAGCCUGUAAAGUUCCAACCUGUGAUCUUAUACAUAAUUUGUUGAACUUAUUACAAUUGAGUUCCCCUGCUUGAAUUUUUGUUGGAUUCAGAUCAACAAUGCUGCUAUAAGUAUUCAGAAACCAACAAUAGAGGUCACAGCUGAAGAGUUCUCAACAAUCAUGGCCACAAAUUUUGAAUCUGUGUACCAUCUGUCCCAAAUCGCACACCCCCUUUUAAAGGCAUCAGGAGCCGGAAGCAUUGUAUUCAUCUCCUCUGUUUCCGGCAUAGUGGCACACAAGAAUAUCUCUGCUUAUUCAGUAACCAAAGGUAUUUCAUCACAUGAUCCAUGGUAUAUUCCAAGUGCUAGGAGUAAAUUCCUAUUUACCAGAGCAAUACUGAACAAGAGAAACAUAUAGAAUUUAUAGCGGUUCUCUUCUAAAGGGAGAGCUACAUCCAUUUUGCCAUUGUAGAUUUUCAUUAUGAAAAAAAAAAAAACCUACAGAACGAUCUCAGGUCUUACAAUAAUUAUCUCAUCUCUGAUUUUCCACAGAGAAAACAGUCACCAUGCAUGUACAAAAUAACUAUAAUAUCCCUUUGAUUGAUUCUCAGUCACCAGGAAAAGUGUAUAUUGUAAUUAGCAAGGCUCCACACAACUGAACAGCAAGUCCUUGGAUUGACCAUCUGUCAUUAUCAUUUUGUGAUUUUUCAGGAGCAAUGAAUCAACUUACAAAGAAUUUGGCAUGCGAGUGGGCGAAAGACAAUAUUAGAAGUAAUGCUGUAGCUCCUUGGUACAUCAAAACUCCAAUGGUGGAGCAGGUAAUUUCUAAUUUCCCUUCACAUCAUUUAGUUGCUCGAAUUCCCUUCUUUUUUUCUUGGUCUGGGAAAAUAGAAUAAUUGACUCGUCCUUCCUUCUCUGUCGUUUACAUUCUCUGGGUUCCAGAUGCUCACUAACCAAGCCUUUCUGGAAGAGGUGAUAAAUCGAGCUCCACUUCGUCGUGUGGGAGAUCCAAAGGAGGUGUCAUCUUUGGUAGCAUUCCUCUGCCUACCGGCAUCAUCUUACAUUACUGGACAGAUUAUUUGUGUUGAUGGUGGCAUGACUGUUAAUGGUUUUGAGUCAAACCUGCUCUAGGAACAUCAUAUGUGAUGGUAUUAUAGCCCUAAUUUGGCUGGCAUGUAUGGAGACUCUUUCAAACAUCUUAGCUUCCUCUACUGCUUCCAUGCCUGGAUCCUUUCUUUUUCCUGAAUAAUCUGCUUGUCAUGCCAAAGUCUUUAGUUUUUUUGGUGUGGGGUUCCCUUGAAAACCUUGCUGCAUGAUGCUUAUAAUAAUGUUUGGAAAGUUUGCUAAUUUUUAUUUGGGUUCAAAUUUUAAUUUUUCAAAAAGUUUCUUAUUAUUUGAUGAGAUUCUUGUGAAGGGUGUUUUUAUAAGGAUUUUAAUUCCAUACAUAAAUCAUACAUCUUUAAUCUCAAUACCAUUGAAAUAUAUAUCCAAUCCUUUGUUGUUCUUUCGUUUUUUUGUAACUUAAUUGUAGUAGGAUCGGAAAUAUGCGAACACUUUCUACUUUUGACCAUUUGCUUUGCUAAAUUAGACCAACUUUUCAUAAUACAAUUCUCAAGUAUUUCUUCAUUUUCAUUACAAUGAUCAUGCAUGGAUAUGGAAAAACUAAUCGGACUCUAAUGUCGUUCAAAUGCAUUUCAUAGAUCAAUCUUCAUCGUCGUAUCCUAAUUUUCAAAACUUGUUAGAACUUCUAAACUUAGUCAAUAUGUAUAGACAUGAUAUCCUCCAUGAUUUUUUUUUAUUGCAACGAAAAAAAGUUAUACAUUCUAUAUUUGAUCCCUAAAUAAAAAAGAAAAAAAGAAAAAAAAAAGAAUGUCUUGCAAAAAUAUUAGGGUUGCACAAAGUUUGGUUGUUAGAAUAAGUAAAAAUGAUGUGCAUCAAAAUAUGUCUUUGAGAAUGGCAAAUAUGUGAGUGCGCUUUAAAAACUCAAAUGGCUUCAAAUGAAUUUCAAGGAAAUGAUUCCAACAUAUAUUCAUCUUCUUAUACCUUUCUGUGCUUCUCCACCAUUUGUAACAAUUUCCUCACUCAUUUGUAAUCCUAAUAAACCUUCCGACCUAUUUUAAAAUUUGUCAAUAUAUUUUAAGCUAAGCUCACCAUCUAUAGUAUCAAAAAAAUUUCUCCUUAAUCCAUGUGGGAUAUGUAUAAUGAAUAAUAUUUGCUCAAAGGUUAAAUAUAUGAAAAUAAUUAAGAUUCAAUCACAUAAAAAUUACAUAUAGCAAGUAGGGAUAACAAUUUUGAUACUAAUAUAAUAAAACGACUAAAAAAUUACAUGGAUUUUAGUAGUUUUGGGUUAAGUAUAAUCAUAUUUAUGUUAUAAUUGUGUAAACACAUUUAUUAAACCAAUGAUAUUGGAAUGUGACUAUUCAACUCAUUUAACCCAUUUAUUUAUUCAUAUCAAAACACAUCUAUGAUAUGAUUAUGAGAACUAAUUUAUGAUUGACAUAACCAAUUUAUAACUUAUUAAUUAAUUCAUAUAAAUUUAUUAAUUUUAUAGAUAUUUAAAAAAUAUUAAAAAUUUAAAACACUUUUUCAAUUAUAAAGAUGUCCUAUAAAACACUAAGGAGGUCACCCUUAUUUAUAUAUGAAAUUAGGGAAUUAAAUUUGAAAUAUAUGAUAUUUGAUUACUUAAUUUAAAGAAUUUGAUUUCUUAAUUUCAAUAACUUUUCAGCCUCAUUUAAGAAAUUUGCCAACAAUCAAAUGUUUUUUCUAAGUCCCUUUUGACUUCAAUUUCCCAAUUUGUUUCUCCUAUUUGAGAAAUCUAUCAAUAAGAAAAUAUUUCUCUCUAAUUCCUUUUUAACUUUAAUUAUUUUAUUUUAUUUUAUAAGACUAGAUUUUGAAACCGUUCAAAUUUUACCGUGUGUUAUUUUUAAAAUCGUAUAUCGCAUGUUCAAUGUGUAGAAUUCAUGACUUAUGAAAUCCAAAUUUUAUUGAACUAUAGGGUUAUAACUUUAGUGACAAAUUUUAUAGUAAUUUAAUCCUUCUUUUAUUUUUAAGCCUACAUAGCUCAACAAGUUGAAUAUAUUUUUAUCGUGUUAAUGGGUUAUCAGUCUUGAUUUAAUUUAAUUUAUCAAAGAGGUUAAAUGAAUGAUUCCCAAUUUGCCACCACAAUAACAAGAGACAACAGACAGAAGGAAAGAGAAACUAAAAUACGUAAUGUGACUUUUCCUUUCAUGUUGCUUACUAUACUUGGUGUCUCUUAAUUUGUUUUUAUUAUAAGAUGUUAAUAAUAUGAUUUUAUUGAUUUAUACCCCAUAUAUAUCAUUUGAGGGAUUGAAAAUAUUGCAAAUUCAUAAUUAAAUUUAAAAGAUAAAUACAUAUACACACACACACAUAUAUAUAUAUAUAUAUAUAUAUAUAUAUAUAUAUAUGAAUAAAAAAAAUCAUCUAUGUAUAAAAUAAUAAUAAGUAGUCUAUUUUUAUCAUUUUUAUGUUAGAAGUUAAUCGAAAACAUAUUUUUUGUUUUUCCAUAAUUUAUACAAAAUUAUAAUAAAAUUUUUAUUCUAGAUAAAAUUAUAUUUUAUAAUUUGUAAUAAUUUAAUUAUAUCAAUUUAAUAUUUUGAUAUCCGUCGUAAAUUAUAUAGAAAUAUUGGAGUGCAAAUACUAAACUACAUAAUAACAACAAGACACCUUAUUCAUCCAAAUUUUCAAAUUUCAAAUAGAAAAUAUUAAAAACAUAAUUUUUAAAUUUAUUAAAAUAUUUAUAUUUGUAAAAAAGUAAUUAAUAAAGAUUUUAAAAUUUUAAAUAUGAUUAAUGAGAUUAUUAUGUGGGUAUUUAUUACUAAUAUUUAAUAUUAAAAAAAAUAAAAUAACAAUAUGAUAUUAAGAUUAUAUUUUUAUAAAUAUAGCAAAAUGAGAUUAUUCUAAAUUCAGUGAUGAUAACAUUAUAGUAAAAAUAAGGAGUGAUAUAAUUAUAAAUAUUUCACUAAGAGCAUAAAAAAUAAAAAAAUAUGGUAAAUUUAGCGAGUAAUAUUGUUACUAUAAAUAUCUGGUGACACGACGACAGAUAUAUGAGUAGAGAAAAACCUCGCUAUUCUACAUAUAGAGAUUCAGAUACCAUUGCCUAUGUCAUGAAAUCAGAGUCCACAAGAAGACAACAUAAAAUGCUAUCGAUCCAUCGCUGUUUCUUGCUCCUGUUAUAAAUUAUGGAUACUAGAUGAAGAUGAGAAGUAGAAGGAGAAGAAACACUUAGCUUUCAAGGAGUCGUAGAGCAGAGGAGGAGACAUGGCUCAGACAUGUGGGUGCAGCUCUGGAGAUAGUAGAUGGUUUCUCAAGGGAAUGACUGCUCUUGUAACCGGUGGAACUAAAGGAAUUGGGUUGGUGUUACCUGUUUUUACGUCUUUGGGUUUGGACUACACCUUCCUAUAUAUAAACGUAUGUAUCAAUUCUGCAGGCAUGCAAUUGUGGAGGAACUGGCUGGAUUAGGAGCAACCAUACACACGUGUUCUCGAAAAGAAAGCGAGCUCAAUGAAUGCUUAAAGGAUUGGAAAGCUAAAGGUUUGGAGUGAGUGGUUCAGUGUGUGAUGUAUCCUCUCGGGCCCAAAGGGAGAAGCUAAUGGAGACUGUCUCUUCUGUGUUCAAUGGGAAGCUGUAUAUCCUUGUAAGUUCCUCUAGUCUCUAAGGUUCCUAUCCAUGAUAUUCCACAUACUUUGUCGAACUUCCUACAAUUUGAGUUCCCCUACUUGAUAUAUAUAUAUAUAUAUAUAUUAUAUACUUUUUUUUAGAACCAGACAGCUUUGGUUUCAAAGACCCUACAUUUACCCAUCAUCCUUGUUAAAUAAUUAUGAGGAAGUCAUACUUACACGUGGAGAUUGAAAAAAAUAAUGAAUGAAUUCCACCAAAUGAAUUAAUUUUGUUUGGCAAUUUCAUUUGAAAAUCAACAAAGAAUGAUGUGAGGUGUGAAUCUUUUUCCAUAUAUCAGCGCACAUAUUCAAAUUCAGCCCUUUCCAUUAAUCUGAUAGCGAUUAUGAGGUUGCGUAGAUGCUACAACAACGACCAAAUGUGAUGAAGAUUUCAGGAAGUGUUGUGAAGAAUUUGAAGAAAAAUAUGAAGAAUUUGAAACAAAAUAUGGAGGAACACCUCAAUUCAUUCUGUGAUACCUUCCUUUACAAUGAAUGAAAGCAUAAAUAAAUAGCCUACGGAUAUGAGACAAUUCCGGAAUGGAAUUUCCCUUACAUGGAAAGUGAAUAAACUCUUACAUGGGAAGUGAAUAAACUACUCUUACAUGGAAAGUGAAUAAACUACCUUGCUAGAAUUACUCCUAAAUAUAUAAACUACUCUUACAUGGAAAGUGAAUAAACUACCUUGCUAGAAUUACUCCUAAAUCAAUUAUAAUAAAGGCUGUACAUUACACUAAUUAGGGAAGUAAACAGAGGAUGCUGGCUUGAUUUCCAACACUCCCCCUCAAGCCGCAUUGUAGAUGUUGAUCAUUCCAAGUUUUUCUGUCAGAUCUUCGAAGUUAACUCGAGCAAGAGCUUUUGUGAGAAUGUCAGCCGUUUGACAGUUUGUCGGAGUGUAGCUGACUUUGAAAACUCCUUCUUCAAUCUUUUCCUUGAUAAAGUGUCGAUCUAUCUCCACGUGCUUAGUUCGAUCAUGAUGAACCGGAUUCUUAGCGAUACUGAUGGCAGCUUGAUUGUCGCAGUAUAACACCAUGGGAUGCUUCAAUGGAACCCGUAAUUCUUCUAACAGCCUGUUCAACCAGAUUCCCUCGCAGAUACCUUGUGCCAUAGCACGAAAUUCUGCCUCAGCACUGCUACGGGCUACCACUGACUGUUUCUUGCUUCGCCAUGUAACCAAGUUCCCUCAGACAAAUGAACAAUAGCCUGAAGUUGAUCUCCGAUCAGUCACUAAACCUGCCCAAUCUGCAUCUGAAAAAAUCUCUAUCUCUUUAUUUGUUGUUCUUUGAAAGAAGAGACCCUUUCCCGGUGUCAUCUUGAGGUAUCUCAAUAUUCUGAUCACAGCAAUCAUGUGUUUUUCGGUUGGAUUAUUCAUGAAUUGACUUACCACACUAACGGAGAAGCCGAUGUCUGGCCUUGUAUGAGAAAGAUAGAUGAGUUUCCCCACAAGACGUUGAUAUCUUCCUUUAUCAACUGGCGCACUUCCAUCACAUUUCUUCCANNNNNNNNNNNNNNNNNNNNNNNNNNNNNNNNNNNNNNNNNNNNNNNNNNNNNNNNNNNNNNNNNNNNNNNNNNNNNNNNNNNNNNNNNNNNNNNNNNNNNNNNNNNNNNNNNNNNNNNNNNNNNNNNNNNNNNNNNNNNNNNNNNNNNNNNNNNNNNNNNNNNNNNNNNNNNNNNNNNNNNNNNNNNNNNNNNNNNNNNNNNNNNNNNNNNNNNNNNNNNNNNNNNNNNNNNNNNNNNNNNNNNNNNNNNNNNNNNNNNNNNNNNNNNNNNNNNNNNNNNNNNNNNNNNNNNNNNNNNNNNNNNNNNNNNNNNNNNNNNNNNNNNNNNNNNNNNNNNNNNNNNNNNNNNNNNNNNNNNNNNNNNNNNNNNNNNNNNNNNNNNNNNNNNNNNNNNNNNNNNNNNNNNNNNNNNNNNNNNNNNNNNNNNNNNNNNNNNNNNNNNNNNNNNNNNNNNNNNNNNNNNNNNNNNNNNNNNNNNNNNNNNNNNNNNNNNNNNNNNNNNNNNNNNNNNNNNNNNNNNNNNNNNNNNNNNNNNNNNNNNNNNNNNNNNNNNNNNNNNNNNNNNNNNNNNNNNNNNNNNNNNNNNNNNNNNNNNNNNNNNNNNNNNNNNNNNNNNNNNNNNNNNNNNNNNNNNNNNNNNNNNNNNNNNNNNNNNNNNNNNNNNNNNNNNNNNNNNNNNNNNNNNNNNNNNNNNNNNNNNNNNNNNNNNNNNNNNNNNNNNNNNNNNNNNNNNNNNNNNNNNNNNNNNNNNNNNNNNNNNNNNNNNNNNNNNNNNNNNNNNNNNNNNNNNNNNNNNNNNNNNNNNNNNNNNNNNNNNNNNNNNNNNNNNNNNNNNNNNNNNNNNNNNNNNNNNNNNNNNNNNNNNNNNNNNNNNNNNNNNNNNNNNNNNNNNNNNNNNNNNNNNNNNNNNNNNNNNNNNNNNNNNNNNNNNNNNNNNNNNNNNNNNNNNNNNNNNNNNNNNNNNNNNNNNNNNNNAUGCAUGAAACGUAGGUGAUAGCUUAUCAUAAGAAAAUAAAAUUUCCAAAUGGGAUGCUGAGUGCAUGAUCUAACUCCUUUCCUCCAAGCUAUGGGCAUAUUAAGAAUAUCAUUUUCUAACUCGGAAUCAACAGUACCAUCAGGAGCGUUGUUACCUGGAAGUUUGCUUGGAUUAGGACCCGGUUCUGCCUCAUGGGUUUGUUGAGAAAGUGAUCUUUCCUCCGUUUCCUCUUGGAUGUGCUCCUUAUCCCACAAGUCAACAAUGGACUCGGGUUGAUUAAAUGACUCUGGAGGAAUGUGAUUUUCAGUGGUGAUGGGUGACUCACUGAAUGACUCAAGAUCCCAAAAUUGAUAUUCCUGAGUUGAAUUCUCCCCCUGAAUAUCGUUUUUGGGAUAGUAAGGCUGGGUUUCAAAAAAGGUGACAUCCAUUGAAUUUUAGAAUUUUCUUGUGACCGGAGAGUAACACUUAUACCCUUUUUGAUUUGAAGAAUACCCAAGAAAGAUGCACUUGAGUGACCUAGGAUCAAGUUUACUUCUAUGUUGUUGAUUGAUAUGAACAAAGAUAGAGCACCCGAAAAUUUUAGGUGGGACGGUGGAGAUGAGACGAGUAGUCGGAAAGGAUUUUAGGAGUGUUUGACAAGGUGUUUGGAAUUUUAGUACCCUAGACGGCAUCCUAUUGAUGAGGUAGGCUGCCAUAAGGACAGCUUGCCCCCAGAAUAAUUUUGGAACAUUCAUGGAGAACAUUAGUGAUCUAGCCACCUCUAACAAAUGCCUAUUUUUCCUUUCAGCGAUUCCGUUUUGUUGUGGGGUAUCAACACAUGAAUUUAAGUGAACUAUCCCUUCUUGUGCUAGAAAUUCUCCUAGAAUGGAGUUGAAAUAAUCCCUAGCAUUAUCAGACUUUAGAAUUUGUAUUUUUGACUGGAAUUGAGUCUGAAUCAUAUUUUUAAAAUUUUUGAAAAUUUGACUCGUUUCAGAUUUUUCUUUCAUGAGGAAUACCCAAGUUAAUCUAGUGUGAUCAUCUAUGAAUGAGACAAACCACCUAGUACCAGUUACAUUUUUUAUUCUUGAUGGACCCCAGAUAUUGCUAUGAAUCAUUGAGAAUGGACUAGACUCUUUAUAGGGUUGAAUGGGAAAAUGAGACCGGACUUGCUUUGAUAAUUGACAGAUUUCACACUCAAAGGAUUUUGGAUUUUUAUUAAAUAAUGAAGGAAAUAAAUGCUUGAGAUACAUAACAUUUGGAUGACCUAAGCGAUAGUGCCACAACCUAAUUGCACUAUCGUUAUUUUGACAUGAAACCAAAAAAGAAUUACUACCAACUGUCAUUUGAGGUUGUUCUUGUGGAUCGUGGCGCUCCUUAAGGAUGUAGAGUCCAGAGCAUUCCUCAGCAUUGCCAAUCGUCUUCCCCGAAUCCAAAUCCUGAAAUUCACAGUGAGUGGAGGAAAAAUUAGUAGAUACACCUCUUUUCCUUAGUGAGUUUACUAANNNNNNNNNNNNNNNNNNNNNNNNNNNNNNNNNNNNNNNNNNNNNNNNNNNNNNNNNNNNNNNNNNNNNNNNNNNNNNNNNNNNNNNNNNNNNNNNNNNNCGUCAUAUGAUCAGAUGCUCCUGAGUCCACUAUCCAAGGUUUUUUACGUUUCUUACCAGCAGUGAAGGCACUCAAAAAAUUACCUUUGUGAGCCAAGGUUCCGGAACCAAUGACCUGGUUGGAAGAUGAGCCAGUUUGUGACUGUACUGACAAAAGAGGAGACAGUAGUUUCUGAAGCAUCUCCAUCUGAUGAGAGGAUGAAGACGAUGAGAUGAUGAUAUCAGAAGUAGAGGAUGAUGAGUUGGUAGCCAUUCCAAAGGCUGGACCGUAUUUAGGCAUAAAUUAGAAGAAUAGAAUUGAGUAAAAAAAAACUGACUAAAGAUGAAGACGAUGAGACAGGAUUAAACCUGCUCUGAUACCAUGAAGAAUUUGAAGAAAAAUAUGAAGAAUUUGAAAACAAAAUAUGGAGGAACACCUCAAUUCAUUCUGUGAUACCUUCCUUUACAAUGAAUGAAAGCAUAAAUAAAUAGCCUACGGAUAUGAGACAAUUCCGGAAGGGAAUUUCCCUUACAUGGAAAGUGAAUAAACUCUUACAUGGGAAGUGAAUAAACUACUCUUACAUGGAAAGUGAAUAAACUACCUUGCUAGAAUUACUCCUAAAUCAAUUAUAAUAAAGGCUGUACAUUACACUAAUUAGGGAAGUAAACAGAGGAUGCUGGCUUGAUUUCCAACAUGUUGGAGUGCGCAUGCUUGAGGAUGAAAACUGUGAACUUGAAAUGACUUAGAAGAUUAAUUUAAGUUUUCAAAUACAUAAAAUAUAAUUAAUAACAUAACUUAAUACAAUAAGUUAAGGCUUCCUAAAGUCUUAAAAUAAAUAACUUUUUCCCAACCUGAAAUAUCCUUUGCCUUGGUAAUAUUCAUGUUCUUCAAGAUCAAAAUUAGUUUGUUUGAUAUAUAAUUCAAAUUAAAAGAUGGAGGGUGUGCCGGGUCCUUUCUAAAUUCAAAAUGGCAUCAUGAAUCAGGUAAGGUUGUGCCCCACGGAUGAAAAUAUAGUAUUAGUUUGGACAAUGUGCCAUGGAAAGAAGAUAGAUUAAGUUCUACAUAUUCAUAUCAGUUGUCUCAGCUUUCACGGCAGACAUUUUCGACGCAAGAGACCGUCUCUUGCGGUGAGUAUUAACCACACUUCUAAAGUUGGAUGUUCGAGAAGACAACUGGGAUUGAUCAGUUUUGUCUCUUUUAUUUUCAGCUUCCUAGAAUCUCUCUCUCUAUCUCUCUUUUUUUUUUCUCAAGGUUAAUGUCAUUUUCUAUGUUGUGGUAGAGUAGAGAAGAACUCAGAAGGCAUGGCACAGACUGGCUGCAGCAAUGGAGAUAAUAGAUGGUCUCUCAAGGGAAUGACAGCCCUUGUAACGGGUGGAAUGAACUUUGAUCUGUCUCUGCCAAUUAUCACCUUGUUUUUAUAUCAAUUCUGCAGGCAUGCUGUUGUGGAAGAACUGACUGGAUUAGGUGCAAGAAUACAUACAUGUUCUCGAACAGAAACUGGGCUUAAUGAAUACUUAAGGGAUUGGGAGGGUAAAGGUUUUGAAGUCACUGGCUCAGUCUGUGAUGUAUCCUCUAGGGCCCAAAGAGAGAAGCUAAUGGAGACAGUAUCUUCUAAGUUUAAUGGGAAGCUGAAUAUCCUUGUUAGUUCCUCUAGUUUGUUAAAUGUGACCCAUCCAUUUUAGAAUCAUUUUCACUAAAUAUAAUUGAUGAGUUACCCUAACUGAAUCUUUGAAUUUAGAUCAACAACGCUGGAACUGGCAAACCGGGACGGACAGUGGAGUUCGCAGCUGAAGAGUUCUCAACGGUCAUGGCUGUAAAUUUUGAAUCUGUGUAUCAUCUAUGCCAACUUGCGCAUCCCCUUCUGAAGGCCUCAGGAGCGGGAAGUAUUGUGCUCAUGUCUUGUGUUUCAGGUGUAGUAUCACUCAAGUAUCUAUCUGCCUAUGGAGCAACCAAAGGUACUUCAUGCCACCAUCGGGUUUAUGUUGCAGGUCCUGUGUUGUUGGACAAGAUGAUAGAUAUUUACCUUUAAAAUUUUUCUUUCGGGGGCACUGAAUCAGCUUGCAAAGAACUUGGCAUGCGAGUGGGCGCAAGACAAUAUCAGGACAAACUCUGUUGCCCCUCGGUACAUCAAAACUUCUCUGGUAGAACCUGUGAGUUUAAUUCCCUUCACCUCAUUUAAAAGUUGCUGUUGUUUUCAUUGGGAAAACUGAUUAAUAAACCAAUCUUCUGUUUUGUUUUCUUUUAUUUUUUUGGUUGUAUCAUUUUGGUUUCAGUUUCUUAGUGAGAAAAGCUUUACGGAAGAGGUAAUAAGAAGAACUCCGCUUGGUCGAGUGGGGGAUCCAAAGGAGGUGUCAUCCUUGGUAGCAUUCCUCUGCCUACCAGUAUCAUCUUACAUUACUGGCCAGACCAUUUGUGCUGAUGGUGGGAUGAAUGUUAAUGGUUUCGAUCCGAGUCAAUGCUAGAAACAACUAGCAUUUAUAUAAUUGUUGUUUUCUCAUAUUUUUCAUACUCACUCUAAUAUUCUUCAUUAUCAUAUUUAUAUAUAUAUAUAUAUAUAGAUAUAUAUAUAUAUUUAUGUAGGUGUACGUGCACACGUGUGUUCAUGUGCGGAUCAUGGACAUUUUUUUUGUAUUCUGUCAUAUUCUUCUUACACUCUCAAAAUAUUCAUAUAUUUUUUACAAUCUUCAUGCAUUUUUUUUUUUUAAUUCUUGAUAUUCUCUCAUAUUCUUUGUAUAAUUUAUAUUGGAAAAAUGAAUAAAAAAAAUAUGGUUUAAAAUUGAUAAAAUAAGAAUAAAAGAUAUAAAAAUAAAAUAAAAUGAUAGAAAAAUAUCAAUAUUAGAGGAAGAUAUACUUGGAUAAUUAGACGCUAAAACCUUGAAGAUGCAAACAUAGUAUGUGGCUAUUUAAUGAGGAACUUAAGGAAUUUGUUCAAUAAUAGUAGCUACCAUGGGAUUAAAGGAUAGUGUAAACGAGUCCGAGGGAGAAACAAUUUUAAUAAAAAAUUAAUUAAAAAUUUAUAUAUUUGUAAUAAAAAUUUGAAAUAAGUUAAAUUAAUUUAAAAUGAUAUAUAAAAAUGAUUUACUGCUUUAAAUCUAUUUUUAUUUUUUAUUUUUUUUUCAUUUCUUUUUUACUUUUUCUUUAUAUAUAUAUAUAUAUAUAUAUAGAUAUAGAUAUAGAUAUAUAUAUUAUAUAUUUUUUUGAGAACCAGCCAGCUUUGGUUUCAAAGACCCUACAUUUACCCACCAUCCUUGUCAAAUAAUUAUGAGGAGCUCAUGCUUACAUGUGGAGAUUGAAAAAAAAUAAUGAUUGAAUUCCACCAAAUGAAUUAAUUUUGUUUGGCAAUUUCAUUUGAAAAUCAACAAAGAAUGAUGUGAUGUGUGAAUCUUUUUCCAUAUAUCAGCGCACAUAUUCAAAUUCAUCCCUUUCCAUUAAUCUGAUAGCGAUUAUGAGGUUGCGUAGAUGCUACGACGACGACCAAAUGUGAUGAAGAUUUCAGGAAGUGUUGGAGUGCGCAUGCUUGAGGACCAAAACUGUGAACUUGAAAUGACUAUUGAAUGCUACCAUAUGAAAUUCGGCCUGAAUCUUUUUCCAAUUCAAAUGCAGGCAGUUCCAUUAAUUUGAUAGAUAUUAUGAGGUUGCCUAUCAUGCUAAGAUAACCAAAUCCGAUGAGAAGUUCAAGAAGUGUUUUGAGUGUGUUUUAGUACUGACACCAUGAAUUCAAAAACAAAUAUAACAUAGAAACACAAAUCAAAACCCAUCACAUGAUGAUAUAGUCGAUAGGAAAUUUGCUUUCUUAAACCAUGCCACGUCCCAUGAAAAAGAAAAUUAAGAAAAUUACAAAUUUUACUUCGAUGGGCUCACAUGCUAUGUGAACCGUCCACUUAAUCGAGGUUAAGAUUAUCUUCAUUUACUUAGAAGAUAAUAAUGAAUUUUUCAAGUAAAAUUUUUUGAGAACCAGACAGCUUUGGUUUCAAAGACCCUACAUUUACCCAUCAUCCUUGUUAAAUAAUUAUGAGGAAGUCAUACUUACACGUGGAGAUUGAAAAAAAUAAUGAAUGAAUUCCACCAAACGAAUUAAUUUUGUUUGGCAAUUUCAUUUGAAAAUCAACAAAGAAUGAUGUGAGGUGUGAAUCUUUUUCCAUAUAUCAGCGCACAUAUUCAAAUUCAGCCCUUUCCAUUAAUUUGAUAGCGAUUAUGAGGUUGCGUAGAUGCUACGACGACGACCAAAUGUGAUGAAGAUUUCAGGAAGUGUUGGAGUGCGCAUGUUUGAGGACGAAAACUGUGAACUUGAAAUGACUUAGAAGAUUAAUUUAAGUUUUCAAAUACAUAAAAUAUAAUUAAUAACAUAACUUAAUACAAUAAGUUAAGGCUUCCUAAAGUCUUAAAAUAAAUAACUUUUUCCCAACCUGAAAUAUCCUUUGCCUUGGUAAUAUUCAUGUUCUUCAAGAUCAAAAUUAGUUUGUUUGAUAUAUAAUUCAAAUUAAAAGAUGGAGGGUGUGUCGGUCCUUUCUAAAUUCAAAAUUGCAUCAUCAAUCAAUCGGAUAAGGUUGUGUCCGACGGAUGAAAAUGUAAUAUUAGUUUGGACAAUGUGCCAUGGAAAGAAGAUAGAUAGAUUAAGUUCUACAUAUUCAUAUCAGUUGUCUCAGCUUUCACGGCAGACAUUUUCGACGCAAGAGACUGUCUCUUGCGGUGAGUAUUAACCACACUUCUAAACUUGGAUGUUCGAGAAGACAACUGGGAUUGAUCAGUUUUGUCUCUUUUAUUUUCAGCUUCCUAGAAUCUCUUUUUUUUUUUUUUCUCAAGGUUAAUGUCAUUUUCUAUGUUGUGGUAGAGUAGAGAAGAGCUCAGAAGGCAUGGCACAGACUGGCUGCAGCAAUGGAGAUAAUAGAUGGUCUCUCAAGGGAAUGACGGCCCUUGUAACGGGUGGAACUAGAGGAAUCGGGUCCGUGUUACCUGUUUUUCUGUUCUGGAAUGAACUUAAUUUGAUCUGUCUCUGCCAAUUAUCACCUUGUUUUUAUAUCAAUUCUGUAGGCAUGCUGUUGUGGAAGAACUGACUGGAUUAGGUGCAAGAAUACAUACAUGUUCUCGAACAGAAACUGAGCUUAAUGAAUAUUUAAGGGAUUGGGAGGGUAAAGGUUUUGAAGUCACUGGCUCAGUCUGUGAUGUAUCCUCUAGGGCCCAAAGAGAGAAGCUAAUGGAGACAGUAUCUUCUAAGUUUAAUGGGAAGCUGAAUAUCCUUGUUAGUUAACCUCUAGUUUGUUAAAUGUGGCCCAUCCAUUUUAGAAUCAUUUUCAUUAAAUAUAAUUGAUGAGUUACCCUAACCGAAUCUUUGAAUUUAGAUCAACAACGCUGGAACUGGCAAACCGGGACGGACGGUGGAGUUCACAGCUGAAGAGUUCUCAAGUAUCAUGGCUGUAAAUUUUGAAUUUGUCUACCAUCUAUGCCAACUUGCUCAUCCCCUUUUGAAGGCAUCAGGAGCGGGAAGUAUUGUGCUCAUGUCUUCUGUUGCAGGUGUAGUAUCACUCAAGUAUUUAUCUGCCUAUGGUGCAACCAAAGGUACUUCAUUCUACCAUAGGGUUUAUGUUGCAGGUCCUGAGUUGUUGGACAAGAUGAUAGAUAUUUACCUUGAUAAUUUUGCUUCAGGGGCACUGAAUCAGCUUGCGAAGAGCUUGGCAUGCGAGUGGGCGCAAGACAAUAUCAGGGCUAACUCUAUUGCUCCUUGGUUCAUCAAAACUUCUCUGGUAGAACCUGUGAGUACCCUUCACCUCAUUUGAAGUUGCUGUUGUUUUCAUUGGGAAAACUGAUUAAUAAACUAAUCUUCUGUUUUGUUUUCUUUUAUUUUUUUGGUUGUAUCAUUUUGGUUUCAGUUUCUUAGUAAGAAAAGCUUUACGGAAGAGGUAAUAAGAAGAACUCCGCUUGGUCGAGUGGGGGAUCCAAAGGAGGUGUCAUCCUUGGUAGCAUUCCUCUGCCUACCAGCAUCAUCUUACAUUACUGGCCAGACCAUUUGUGUUGAUGGUGGGAUGAGUAUUAAUUGUUUCGAUCCAAGUCAAUGCUAGAAACACCUAGCAUUUAUAUUAAUAUAUGUUGUUUUCUCAAAACCGCUUCUGUUUUUGGGAUUAUUUGCUCGUGAUAGUGACCUUGUGGUCCUAGGAUUAAUGCAUGGUUACCAAAUAUUAAGUCUAUGCUUCCAAUAAAUAUUAAAAAAUUUCUUAUUAUUCAAUCACGGAUUUCUACCUUCUUCUCCGGUCAUAGAUACUGUUUAGGUCUCCGGUGCAUUCCCCGCUCACCCACCUACAUCUGAUUGGUUGCAACGUUCAAUCACGGAUUUCUUAUUAUUCAUAUAUCUUUUAGUACAUUUUUUCAAAUUCUUGAUAUUUAUUCGUAUUAUUUGUAUAAUUUAUAUAAGAAAAAAUGAUUUAAAAUAAAAAUAUAUGGUUUAAAAUUGAUAAAAUAUCAUGAAUAACGUUUUACAAUCCAUAAGAUACAAAAAUAAAACAAACUGAUAGAAAAAUAUCGACAUUGGUUAAAAAUAAUUAAGUUAAUCGCGAGUAUAACUAAAUCAUCUCAACUUGAUGAAUGAUAAAUUCAUUUAUAAAAAAAUUUAAAAUAAAAAACCUAUUAAUUAUUGAAAAUUCAAAUAUGAUUUGAUAUAAAUGUUUUGUUAUGAAAUUUACAUUUGUAUGAAAAAAUAGUAAACUUUUCUUAAGGUUCGUAGUCCCCUGGAAACAUUUUUUAGUAUUUUUUUCGAGAGGUACAAAUUUCUUGCUUACUUUAAUAUAUUUAAGACACAAAAUUUGACAUAUAUAUUUGAUCCAUCAAUCAAAACUCCCAUCCCACACACAUUUUGUAAAGUUAGAGCCAUUAGUUUUUAUAUUCAAUUUUUACCUCUUUUUUUGCAUAUUUUAAUAAGAAUAAAUUAGAUGUUGUAAUUUCUUAUUUUAAAUAAGAGUAUGAUACCACAUUAAACGAUAAAAUAAAAAUUGUAUAUAUGUGAAAUAUAUGUCAUUAUUCAUCUUGAUAUGUAUUAUACUGUUUACCUCUUCAACAAGUUUUGUAAAAUUUUUUGUUUUGUAGUAAGUAAAGUGUGGAGAGUUACCCUCAAAGACAUGGGAUUUAAAAGAAAUAAGAAAAAGAGAAAAAUGUCAAAUAUUUCUUAUUAUAAUCACUUGAAAAAUAAGUCCAAUACACGUGGAGUUGAAAUAGGUUUACAAUCAAAGGAAGUAAAAGAAAAAAAGAUAAACUAAUCUUUCCUUGCUCCAAAAAAGAAAGAUAAUAAUGUUGAUGUGGUAAAUAAAUUAAUAAUUUUAACAUCUCCCCACAAACUCAUAAAACUCAUAAUGCGGUUGUAAGAAGUAGUGAGAGCUUAAAUAAAUUAACUUACAAUAAAAUGAAGUAAAAGAAAAAAAUUAAUUUACCCUUACUCGAUAAAUCUUUAGUAUAUUAUUAUUAUUAUUAUUAUUAUUAUUAUUAUUAUAUCUCAAAGUCAAGAUUAUGAACAUGAAAAUUAAACAUAUCGCGCUUCAAUCUUGACAAGACUAAUAUAAAGUGAGGUUUUCCCCUUCUUAUUAUUAAUAUUAUUAUUAUCACUACUACGAUAUCUUUGUUUACACUAAAAUCUUUUCUUUAAUGCCCUCAAAGUCAAGAUUACGAACAUAAAAAGCAUGUCACACUUCAAUGUUCACAAGACUAAUACAAAAUGAGGUUUCCUCCUAAAUUUAUUAUUACCAUUACAUAUCUUUGUUUACACUAAAAUCCUAUCUUUAAUACCCUAAAAGUCAACAUUAGGAACAUGAGAAACAUUUCACUAUUUAAUGUUGACAUGACUAAUACAAAGUGAGGUUUCCCUAAAUUUAUUAUUAUUAUUACAUAUCUUUGUUUUCACUAAAAUCUUAUCUUUAAUACCCUAAAAGUCAAUAUUAGGAACAUGAGAAACAUUUCACAAUUUAAUGUUGACAAGACUAAUACAAAGUGAGGUUUUCCCCUAAAUUUAUUAUUAUUAUUACAUAUCUUUGUUUCCAUUAAAAUCUUAUAUUUAAUACCCUAAAAGUCAAUAUUAGGAACAUGAAAAGUAUAUCACACUUCAAUGUUGACAAGACAUUAUACAAAGUGAAGUAUUAUUUCCAUAAUAUCUUUGCUUACACUAAAAUCUCAUCUUUAAUAUCCUUGAAGUUAAGAUUAUGAGCAUGAAAAAUAUGGCAUACUUCAAUGUUGACAAGAUUAAUACAAAGUGAGGUUUCUUCGUCAAUUUAUUAUUAUUACUACAAUAUCUUCCUACACUAAAAUCUCAUCUUUAAUAGCUCAAAGUUAAUAUUACAAGCAUGAAAGUUCAACAUGCCAUCCUCCAAUCUUAACAAGGCUAAUACAAAUUGUGAUUUCCCUAAUUUUUUUUCCAUUGUCUUUCUUUUUCUUGUACCUGUUGUGAUCGAUUUAGGUCACAAGCCAAAUAAUUGCAAGAAAAUGAACUCACACGUGAAAAUUGAGAAGGAUGAAAUAUUCUCUAACAUUGCACACUCUUAGAAGAAAAAUCAUUUGGUUGACAAUUUUAUUUGAGACUAACAAAUUGACGGAAGGACAUGAUGUGAGGCCAGCUUGUAUAUGCUUUUAUUCAAAUCUAGCCACAUGAUGAAUCCUACAAACUCCUUUCCCAUUUUUUUAUUGCAAUGUUUUAAAUGAUGCCACGUACCUAAAUUCUUGAAAUUUUGAGUCAGUUAAAGACAUGUCUGGAUGGCAUGGAGGAGAGUUAGGGGGCUAUUCGGCUUGUACCCCUUCAAAUUCAGCCUGCUCCAUUAAUUUGAUAGCUAUCGUGAGGUUGCCUAUGAUGCUAAGAUAACCAAAUGUGAUGAGGAUUUCAAAAAGUAUUCGAGUGUACUUCAGUACCAAAUCUGUGAAAUGAUUAUUGAAUGCUACCUAAUUUUGUUUGAAAUUUUCAUUUGAAAUUAAAUAAAUAAAUAUGUGAGGCCUAAAUCUUUUUCCAUCAUAUUGUACUCAUGUUCAAAGUCUGCCACUUCCAUUCAUUUGACAGCUAUAAUGAGGUUGUCUAUGAUGCUAAAAAUGACCAAACGUGAUGAUGAUUUCAAGAAGUAUUCCAGUAUAUUUUAAUUGGCAAUGUUUUAAAGAUAGGUAUCAUUCAUCCUAAAAAUUCAUCCAUUCAUGUUCAUUGCAUGGUCGAAAUGUUAUUAAACAACUAACAUUAUAAAUAUAUAAUUUAUAUUUUAUUAAAAUUAAAAAUAAUUUUUAAAAACUAAUAUGUAUAUAUAUAUAAUUAAAAACCAAUUAUAUUUAUUUUUUAAUCUUUUAUAUAAAUGUACUAAUAAUUAAAAUUUUAUUAAAUAAAAUAUGUAAAAUUUGAAAAUUGAAUAAAAUUUGCAUUAUAUAUAUAUAAAAGUUUAAAAGAUACUAGAUUAUUUUAUUCAUAUUGAAUUUCUGAAAUAAUAUACAUAUUUUUUUCUUUAGUUUCACAAACAUUAACAUUUGGAUAAGUAGCUGAGUAGUUGUUCCUGAAAAUGCUCAAGCACAUAUUAGCAAGAAUGAAGAAUUUGUUUCUAUUCUUUCAUAUUUUACAGUAGACCAAUGGCUAUAUAUAUAUAUUACAAUGUAACUAAUCUAACCAUCUAUUGAACUACCUAACCAUCUUCUAACUAAUCAUAACAACAUCUGUUAGAGAGGAGAAGAAUCAGCUGCUGGUGCGGGUGCUUGUCUAUCAUCCCCCCGCAAGCUGACAGGUCUUGGGACAAUAGAGAAAUGAGUACGAGCGGCUGAGAACUAACAGCUUGGAACAUAUUUAGUAAAGACAUCUGCCAACUGGUCGGUAGAAGGAACAUAUUGAAUUAAAAGCUCUUUGCGAAUGACCUUAUCACGGACAAAGUGAAGAUCAAUCUCUAUGUGCUUGGAACGGGCAUGGAAGACAGAGUUAGCUGCAAGAGGAGCAGCACUGAUAUUGUCACACCAGAUCAAAGGAGUGUUCGGUUGAGGAAUGCACAACUCUUUGAUCAGAAACUGAACCCAGGAGACCUCAACAGCGAGAAAAGCAAGUGCCCGGUACUCCGAUUUUGCACUACUACGAGAGACGACACGUUGCUUGGUAGAGGACCAUGAGAUGAGAUUGGUGCAAAAAAAAAAGACAAAAGCCACUAGUGCUUCUUCUAUCAUCGAGACAUGAAGCCCAAUCCGCAUCGGUAUAGCCUUGAAGAGACCAAGAUGGUGAGGCAUGGAUAGAAAGACCAUGAGUAGCAGUACCUUUGAGAUAGCGAAGUAUGUGUUUAGCAGCUUGCAGAUGAGAAGUGAUAGGAUGAGCCAUGUAUUUACAAGCUUGAUUUACUGCAAAUGAGAUUUUUGGUCUUGUGAGAGUGAUGUACUGAAGAGCACCCACAAGACUGUGAUAGUGAGUAGCAUCAAGAGCAGAUAAAGGUUCUCCAUCUGCUGCUGAUAACAAUUUUCCCAAAGCACCAAGUGUGCUAGCAGAUUUGGCCCCAAGAAGAUCAGCACGCUCAAGUAGCUGAUGUAUGUAGCGUUGUUGAUUGAGAUGAAGAACAUGAGGAAGCCGGGUGACUUCAAUGCCAAGGAAGUAGCUAAUAUCUCCAAGGUCUUGAAGAGCAAAAUGGGAGCUAAGCUGAGAAAUGAUAUGAUGGACCUGUGGUGGAUUGUUGCCAGUAAUGAGAAUAUCAUCCACAUAGAUUGAGAUGAUGAUAAUAUCAGAUGCAGAGUGGAAAUAAAAUAAAGAUGCAUCAGCCCUUGAGCAUUGGAAUCCCAAUUGUAAGAGAAAGGAGCUGAGCUUGUGGAACCAGGCUCGAGGCGCUUGUUUAAGGCCAUAGAGAGCCUUCUGUAGACGACAAACAUGAGUGGGGCAAGAGCUAUCUUCAAAGCCUAGAGGUUGCAUCAUGAACACCUGUUCUUAAAGAUCUCCAUUUAAAAAAGCAUUGUGGACAUCUAGUUGUUUAAUAGGCCAGUUGGAAGAGACAACAAUGGAGAGAACAAGCCUGAUAGUGCAAGGCUUCACAACUGGACUAAAUGUCUCAAAAAAAUCAAUGCCAUAGGUUUGAUGAAAACCUUGGGCAACCAGCUGAGCUUUGUACCUGUCAAUGCUGCCAUCAGGUUUAUGUUUGAGUUUGAAGACCCAUUUACACCCAAUAAUUUUGGCAUUAGAUGGAGGUGGCACCAAAGACCAAGUUUGAUUCUUCAAUAGAGCUUGAUAUUCUUGUUCCAUAGCAAGCUUCCAAUUAGGGUCUUGAAAAACCUGUUUGACAGUACGUGGCUCAGCUAUGAGUGAGGUAAGAUAGGUCUUCUUCUUAUAGAUACCAAAUUUGGAUCUGGUAAUCAUAGGAUGACUAGGAAUUGGAGCUAUGGAAUCCUGGAGGGAAGCAGUAGAAAUCUCAGCUGCUUCAUCCACAAAUGGCACCUGAAUGAGCGGGGGUAAAGACAAAAAGCUGGCUAGAGGUGAUGUGGGGGCAAGUUCGGAUGGGAUAGCCGGAGAAGAGCUGGUUGUGGAGGGGAAAAGAACAGAAGAUGGAGGAAAAAGAAAUGCUGGAGUGACAGGAAAAUGAGAUGAUUGGUGGGAAGGAGAAGUCAAUGCUUGAAAUGGAAAUGUAGUCUCUACAAAGACUACAUGCCUAGAGAUAUAUACUCUGCCAGUUGUAAGAUUAAGGCAAAAAUAACCCUUGUGAAAUGUUGCAUAACCAAGAAAGAUACAGGGUAUGGACUAUGGCUGAAAUUUGUUGGAGUUGAGAUGUCUGAGGUGUGGAUAACAAAGACAACCAAAGACUUUGAAAUGGAAAUAAUCAGGUGGGUGUUUGUAAAGAAGAGAAAAUGGGGAGCUGUAAUUGAGCAAAGGAGAAGGCAUGCAAUUGAUAAGGGUAAUUGUUGUAGUGAAAGCAUAGGACCAAAAUUUGGAUGGCAGGGCAGUUGUGUAAAGAAGAGUGAGCCCGAUUUCUACAACAUGGCGCAUUUUGCGUUCAACCCGACCAUUUUGUUCAGGUGUAUAAGGGCAAGAAAAUCUAUGGAGUAUACCAUGAAGAGAUAGAAACCGGAGGGUAGUGAACUUUCCACCAUGGUCUGUUUGAAGGCAUUUAAUGGUGGUCUGAAAUUGGUUUUCAACAAGAGUUUUAAAUUGAACAAAAGUGGAGUAAACCUGGUCCUUGGUGAGGAGUAAAUAUAUCCAUACAAACCUAGAGUAAUCAUCCAUGAGCAACAAAAAAUACCAGGCACCUGCGGAGGAAGGAACAGGUGUUGGUCCCCACAAGUUUGCAUGGAUGAGUUCAAGAGGAGAGGAGGCCCGGGAAGUGGACAAAGAAAAAGGAAUUUUGUGACUUUUGGCAUAACAACAAGCAUUGCAAACAUCAAUUGUUUUAUUUGAGUUAUAUGAAAUAUUACAUGUAUGAAAAAUUUUCUGAAGUAUUAUAGCAGAAGGGUGGCCAACUCGUUGAUGCCACAACAUAGUAGUGGGCUGAGUUUUUGUGAGAAACACUUGAUGUUUAGAAUUGGCAGUAGGUGAGUUGAUAGAUGAGGUAGGAAAUUUGUAGAGUCCACGUUCAAGUUGGCCUUGGAGAAGAGUCACUUUGGUAUCCUUGUCCUUGACAAAAAAUGAAAAAGGAUGAAAUUCAAGAAUGGUAUUAUUAUCAGUACAGAAUUUUGACACACUGAUGAGAUUUGAAGUGAGUUGUGGAACAUGAAGCACAUUGUGUAAAACAAAGGGUUUAGCAGAAAUGUGGAGAAAGGAAUGACCAACUUGGGUUAUGGGUAGGGACUUACCAUUGCCAACCAUCACAGAGUCAGUACCAUUGUAUGAAGUACCAUUGUGGAUAUUAGCAACUGUGUGGGAGAGAUGGUGGGUGGCGCUUGAAUCCAAAAACCAGGAGUCCGUUGAUGCUGGGGAAGGUGCUGCCAUCAUGGCUUGAGCAGGAGGAGUGGGACCAGUUUGAGAGGUUGAUGAGGCUGGUGCAUGUGGCCCUUGAUAAUUCACAUCAAAUCUGUGAUAACAAGAGAGGACCAUGUGCCCAAACUUGCCACAUAACUGACACUGUGGUUGGUUAUUUGUCCGGGAUCGAUUAUUGUUGAAUCGGUUAGGGCGAUAUCCUUGAGGAUGUUGCUGUCGUGAAUUUGGAAGAGUGUCAGGUCGUGGGGUUGGCAUGAAUGACUGAGGUGGUUUCCCUUGAGAGGGUUUGAUGGACUGUGACCUUCGUGGUCUGUUAUGAGUUGCAAUAUUGGCAAUGAGGAGGUCUUCUUCAGCAGUUGUGGUUUGAAGAUGCAGCCUCUAUUCAUGAGUCAGAAGGAUGCUAUGUACCGCAUGAAGUUGAAGGUCAUCAUCUCUAGCUGUGAGAGAAGCCAUGAUGGGGUUGUAUUCAACCCCUAGUCCACUUAGUAAUUGAAGAAUUUGAUCCUUUUCUGGCACUGGUUCUCCAAUAGCUGCUAGACUAUCAGAGAUGUGUUUGAGUUUUUGGAUGUAUUCCAUCAUGGUAAGAGGGCCUUUUUUGGUUGUUUGAAAAGCAAGUCUCAGCUGCAUUGUUCUUGCUUUGGUGGAAGCAGAGAAGCUUCAUUGGAGGGUUGUCCAUGCUUCAUGGGAUGUUCGUAGCCCAACAAUUUGGCCCAUAACAUCUGGAGUGAGAGAGGAGUAGAUCCAACUCAGGAUCAUACGAUCAUAUCUCCUCCAAACCAGAAAAUCUGGGUUCACUUCUCCGGUGGAUAUUAUUUUUGGAGGACAUGGUCUCAGACCUUCAAUAUAGUCCUCAAAUCCAUUGGCAUAUAUCACAUUUUCCAUUUGUGUAUGCCAAAGGAUAUAGUUAUCUCUAUCUAGUUUGAUAGGAAGAGGAUGGUUCAGCAUGCUCAUGUUCAGGGUAGAGGUUACCUGAGAAGAGACAAUCUCCGGCGUGGUUUGUGUUGAUGAAGCCAUCGGAAACUAGGUACAGUAUGUUCUUGAAGCUUUCUUGAGGUGAGUAAGAAAAGCAAAAGGUAAUCUGCAGAUGAUGUAUAUCAGAAGAAAGUUGCAGUAGAAAGAGUUGUUGGAGAUUUCUUUAUUGUCUUGCUGGGGAGAGAAAUCAAAAAACGAAAAUUCAUGAGCCUAUGGCUCUGAUACCAUGAAAAUGCUCAAGCACAGAUUAGCAAGAAUGAAGAAUCUGUUUCUAUUCUUUCUUAUUUUACAGUAGACCAAUGGCUAUAUAUAAAUAUUACAGUGUAACUAAUCUAACCAUCUAAUCAUCUAUUGAACCACCUAACCAUCUUCUAACUAAUCAUAACAGCAUCUGUUAGAGAGGAGAAGAAUCAGUUGCUGGUGCGGGUGCUUGUCUAUCAGUUCCAAGUUACCUUAAACCUUGAAAGGAUCAAGUCCUUUUGAUUUUGUUUAAAUAAGCUACUAAGCUACUGCUCACUCCACAUUGGAAAUUCAAGGGGAUGAAAAAAGGUUUAUAAAUCUCAUUCAUCUCCAACAGGUCACAUGGCCUUUAGGCCGUGGGAGGCAAUGCGGUGAGUGGGUCGUGUGCUCUAAAUGGAGGCCUAUUUUUGCAACAAAAGAAAGACCGAAACCAAACCAAGCAUGAACCAAAUCGGAUCAAGAUCCAGUCGACGGUCUGACUAGUUCAGUAGGAAUUUUUCAUAAUAUGGUUUAAUGGCAUGUAGAUAUUCUUUAGUCAAAGUUUUAAUAAGCCCAUCAAAAGUUGUAAUAUUUUAUGUUAUAAGUUAAUAGAGAAUAUUUUUUACUUUAAAUUUUUGUUGGUAUUUUCCCAUAAUCUAUAGUUAUUAAGGCAUUGAUAUUUUCUCAAAUUAUAGAAUUAAGUUCUAAAACAACAUUUAUUUUGACAUAGAUGAACAUUUGAAAGAUUAUAAUUUAUCUUUAACUUAUUUUUCUUUAUAACCAAAAUCUUUUCUCUCGAUUUUUCAUAAUAUUUGAUUAUGAUUAAUUAUUCAUGCAUACAAUCUAGGUCUGAAUCUAUUAUCUUCAACACUUAUUUUUAUUUUUUUAUGUCAUGUUUGAAAAUUUACUUUAGAUAGUAAGUCAAUAAAUGUUUCUAAAGGUAAAUGAGUGUUUGGUAUUAUGAUUCUUAGAUCUUGACUAGUAAGGGAUUCUUUAUAAUUUGUUCAUUUUAUUACUUGAGCUAAUUUAAUUCUCUAUUUAUUAAUUUCUUAUAUUUCAUCAUGUAAAUUUUGAAUAGUUAUAAGUUUGUGAAUAGUUUUGAAUCUAUUAAAUAUUUCAUCUAUAAUAUUGAUUAGAUUUGGGUUCUUGAAGUCUACUUAUCUCUUUAAUUUGUAAGAAUUAAAUCUUUUAAAUAUAACAAAUAUUGAAUUUUUAUGUUGAAUCCUCUAUUUUAUGACAUCAAAAAAUAUUUAUUUAUUUACUUUUGAAUAAAUCAUAUUUAUUAUUUUAUAUGAACAAACAUACUCACUUUCACAUUCAUUUUCAUCAUUAGAGUCUUCUAGACUAAUUAUAUUGGUUUAAUGUGUCUAGUAUUUGUGAUAAAUUUCAUAAAAAUAUUCAAGUGUAAAUAUUAAACUACAUAGUAUACUGUCACAUAUGACACAUUUCAAAUAGUAAAGACUAAAACCAUAAUUAAAGAUAACUUAGGUUUUAUUUUUUUUGUCAAAAAUAUUAUAAUUUUAAUUAAUUGAAUUAUUAAUUUUUCAAAAAUUUAGAAAAAAUAAAAAAUAGUAUUUUAAAAUUUGGCUCUCUUGAAAAUCAUGAGAGGAUAAAAAUUGGUAAAAAAAUAAAUAAAUUUAGAAAAGGUUAUUGAGAUUAAUUAAGUACAUCCUUGCCAUGAUAUUUAAUAUUUUUUUUAUGUUUUAUAAAUAGGGUAAAUGGACAUCGUUCUAAAUACAGGAAGAUGAUAUUAUUAUAUAUAAAAAAAAUGUAAAAAUAGUGAGUAAUAUUAUUAAAAAUAUCUCAUGGAAUGGGGCAAGAUAAAGGGCCAAAAAAAAAAAAAUUAGAGAAGAAAGAAGAAAAAGAAGAGUGUUGUAAGCACAGGAAGUCAAAAGUACUGUAUAAGCGUGAUUCAUCCCUGUUUCCUACUUCGAUUAUAAAGUAUGGACAGAGAUACAGAAAAAAAAAAAGAGAAGAAGCAGCAUUCAGCUUUCACCAGUGCAGAGUGGUAUGGUGGUGUAGCAUAUGUUUGGUUGUUAUUCUUGCUCCAAACAAGUGUGAGCUGAUCCAUUUCUAUACUCAUUUUUGUUAUCUCAGUCGACUGAUUCGUUUAGUGGGCCUGGUGUUAGCCAAAAGCUAGCCACCAAUUUUCUUUGCUUUAUCCCAUUACAUUAGAAUAAAAAGAAAAUGGAGGUUUGAGAGGGCCAUUGGGACCAUUGGGACCAUUAUCAGUUGUCUUUUGUUUUCAAGUUGUAAGAAGUCCUGUCAAGGUUUAUGUCAUUUGCUAUGUUGUUUCUGUUCCAUUUUCAGUUCAAAGAGUGGUAGAGUAGAGAAGGAGGCAUGGCUCAGACAUUUGGGUGCAGCUCUGGAGAUAGUAGAUGGUCUCUCAAGGGAAUGACUGCUCUUGUAACUGGUGGAACUAAAGGAAUUGGGUUGGUGUUACCUGUUUUUAUGUCUUUGGGUUUGGACUAUACCUUCCUAUAUAUAAACGUAUGUAUCAAUUCUGCAGGCAUGCAAUUGUGGAGGAACUGGCUGGAUUAGGAGCAACCAUACACACGUGUUCUCGAAAAGAAACUGAGCUCAAUGAAUGCUUGAAGGAUUGGAAAGCUAAAGGUUUUGGAGUGAGUGGUUCAGUGUGUGAUGUAUCCUCUCGGGCACAAAGGGAGAAGCUAAUGGAGACUGUCUCUUCUGUGUUCAAAGGGAAGCUGAAUAUCCUUGUAAGUUCCUCUAGUCUCUAAGGUUCCUAUCCAUGAUAUUCCACAUACUUUGUCGAACUUCCUACAAUUUGAGUUCCCCUACUUGAUAUAUAUAUUUUGGUUCCGGAUUCAGGUCAACAACGCUGCUAUUGUUAUUCAGAAACCAACAGUAGAGGUCACGGCAGAAGAGUUCUCAACAAUCAUGGCCAUAAAUUUUGAAUCUGUGUAUCAUCUGUCCCAACUCGCACACCCCCUUUUAAAGGCAUCAGGAGCGGGAAGCAUUGUAUUCAUCUCCUCUGUUGCCGGCGUAGUGUCAGUCAAGUAUCUGUCUGCUUAUGCAGUAACCAAAGGUAUUUCAUUACAUGAUCCACAGUAUAUAUAUAUAUCGCAAGUUCUUGGGUUGUGGCCCUUGUGGCCUUCUCGGCGUGUCAUUAUCAUUAUCAUUUUGUGAUUUUUCAGGAGCAAUGAAUCAACUUACAAAGAAUUUGGCAUGCGAGUGGGCGGAAGACAAUAUUAGAAGUAAUGCAGUUGCUCCUUGGUGCAUCAAAACUCCGAUGGUGGAUCAGGUAAUUCAGUUGCUCUUCUUUUUUGUCUGGGAAAAUUCAAUAAUCAAUUCCUCUCUCUUUUCUGUCUUUUGCAUAAUCUGGGUUGCAGAUGCUCAGUAACAAAACCUUUCUGGAAGGGGUGAUAAAUCGAGCUCCACUUCGCCGUGUGGGAGAUCCGAAGGAGGUGUCAUCUUUGGUGGCAUUCCUCUGUCUACCAGCAUCAUCUUACAUUACUGGACAGACUAUUUGUGUUGAUGGUGGCGUGACUGUUAAUGGUUUUGAGCCAAACCUGUUCUAGGAACAUCAUUAAGACUCUAAAAAAUCUUAGCUUCUUCUACCGCUUUCCUGUUUGGAUCCUGUCUUUUUCCUGAAUAAUAUGUUUGUGGUGGUAAGUACUCUUCUGUUUUUUCGGUGUGGGGUUCAUUUGAAAACAUUGUUGCAUGAU